UACGUAGGGGUGCGAGCGUUGUCCGGAUUAUUGGCGUAAAGAGCUUGUAGGCGGCUCGUCGCGUCCGGGUGUGAAACUUGCGGCUUAACCGCAAGCCUGCACCCGAUACGGGCGGGGCUAGGAGUUCGGCAGGGGAGACUGGAAUUCCUGGUGUAGCGGUGGAAUGCGCAGAUAUCAGGAGGAACGACCGGUGGCGAAGGCGGGUCUCUGGGCCGAUACUGACGCUGAGAAGCGAAAGCGUGGGGAGCGAACAGG
RNAcentral lists this ribosomal RNA (255 nucleotides) under uncultured bacterium. Its description in RNAcentral is "partial 16S ribosomal RNA". It matches the Rfam family "Bacterial small subunit ribosomal RNA", at positions 524 to 776 of the family's 1533-position model. The record is from RNAcentral.